Molecule: ribosomal RNA, 253 nt
Filed under: uncultured bacterium
Lineage: Bacteria
Description: partial 16S ribosomal RNA
Rfam family: Bacterial small subunit ribosomal RNA
Source: RNAcentral
AACGUAGGUUCCGAGCGUUAUCCGGAUUUACUGGGCGUAAAGCGCGUUCAGGCGGUUUGGCAAGUCGGGCAUGAAAUCUCUCGGCUCAACCGGGAGAGGUUGUCCGAUACUGUUAGACUUGAGGGCAGUAGAGGGUGGUGGAAUUCCUGGUGUAGCGGUGGAAUGCGCAGAUAUCAGGAGGAACACCAAUAGCGAAGGCAGCUCGCUGGGACGGUACUGACGCUAAGGCGCGAAAGCGUGGGGAGCGAACAGG